This 497-nucleotide ribosomal RNA is filed under the name uncultured bacterium. Its description in RNAcentral is "partial 16S ribosomal RNA". It matches the Rfam family "Bacterial small subunit ribosomal RNA", at positions 28 to 507 of the family's 1533-position model. The record is from RNAcentral.
GACGAACGCUGGCGGCGUGCCUAAUACAUGCAAGUUGAGCGCUGACGGAUGGUGCUUGUACCCACUGGAUGAGCAGCGAACGGGUGAGUAACGCGUGGGGAAUCUGCCUUUGAGCAGGGGACAACAUUUGGAAACGAAUGCUAAUACCGCAUAAAAACUUUAAACACAAGUUUUAAGUUUGAAAGAUGCAAUUGCAUCACUCAAAGAUGAUCCCGCGUUGUAUUAGCUAGUUGGUGAGGUAAAGGCUCACCAAGGCGAUGAUACAUAGCCGACCUGGAAGGGUGGUCCGCCACAACGGGAACGGGAAAAGGCCCAAGACUCUACGGGAGGGAACAGUAGGGGAACUUUGGAAAUGGACGGAAGUCUGACCGAGCAAAGCCGGGUGAGUGAAGAAGGUUUUCGGGUCGGAAAACUCUGUUGGUAGAGAAGAACGUUGGUGAGAGUGGAAAGCUCACCAAGUGACGGUAACUACACAGAAAGGGACGGCUAACUACGUG